Long non-coding RNA from Oryza brachyantha (malo sina), 3575 nucleotides. RefSeq lists it as uncharacterized. The transcript has 4 exons. The record is from RefSeq and is a predicted model, not a curated record. NCBI's taxonomy places the organism in Eukaryota, Viridiplantae, Streptophyta, Magnoliopsida, Poales, Poaceae.
UGUGUAGUACUACGACACGAACAAAAACCCCAGGAAUUUCUCGACGAUUCCUAUCGAUUUGCGCUUCGGAGCUGGCGCGAAACCCCAAAUCCGCCGCCCAAAUAUUGGCGGUUUCGAUCGGAUUCGCCAUCCAUGUAUGUAUGAUCCGAUUUGUGGCGGUGAAUUUUGAUCGGUUUGGUUUGGAUUUUGGGUUUUGUUUCUCGGUCAGAUGGAUGGAUGGGUGGGUGGAUUGGCGCCGGCGAUGCCGGAGGUGCUGCUCGUCUUGGCGCGCGCGGCGAGGGAUCGGUGUCGGGGCGGUCUCGCCCUCGUCUCCGUCGACGGGCUCCUCGCCGCGGCCAGUGGGGGGAGUUCGCGCGGAUCUACGAAUACGAGGAGGCGCGCCUCAGGCGACGAGUAGGCCUGCGGCUGGGUGGCUCCAUCUCGAUGGAGAGGCGAGCCCCCGGGCUGAUGGGGCGGGCGGUGAUGGAGUGUGCGUCGCGCCGGCCAUCCCCGGUAAGAAGGUAGGGUGAGUCGCUGAGGAAAAACGAUUCCGAUGAGACUCCGAUCAUGGGCGCAGCUAAUGGUGGCUUGGAGAGUCAGUAGAAUGCCCAGGCCGGGAUUUCCCCACGGUGAAGGUGCAGAGAAUUGGAGAAAAGCCUUUGGGAUGAUGCACAACAGCAGAAGCUGCAUUUCCCGAUUCAGCUGGUGAGAGAGAGGAUGAGGCGAUGGAGGUUGUGGCGAAAAAAAAUGGCAGAGCUUGAUGGCUAAGGACGUGGUUGUGAAAUCAGGGAUAGCUAUGAGGAAGAGUACGUUUUAGAAGGUGGGUGAAAUCUAAGCAACCUCUUUCAAGCGAAAAGGAUGGUUAUCCUCGGCUUUUCAUAGUAAACCAUGGGAUGACCGGGGACUCACAGUCUAGAUGUAGCCUCAUUCUGCACGACUGGUUCAUUAACAUGAUAAACAUUCCAGAUCAUACAUCUAAUAUUUGUUGGCUGAGGGGAGAAACAUAAGUUAUCCGCACAGUUUGGAUUGAAUUGCGGUAUGAAUAUAACCAAGGCAGAGUAGGAGUUGGGCAAGGGGAAUUGCAAUACAGCCAACGUUGAUUAGAUAUUUCUGCCUUUUCUUUAUUGGAGAGGUAAUAACAAUUUCCAUUGUUCAACCUCACAGUCCUGAAGUUACCCCGAGCAGAGUAAGAAGUGCCCUGGAAAUAAGCUGUAGGAAAAAUACGAAGAUACAUGCAUCAUUCUGCUCAUUCUUUCUUUCCUUUUGAUCAAAAGUAGACAAAAAAGAUUAUCUUUCUUUCUUGCUUACCGCCUUUACUGCUUUUCCUUUUCUGCAAAUUCAAUUCGUAGGCAUUGCACGUACGGAUAUUGCUAGGCUAUUAGCCUAUUACUAGCUACAGUGAGGGCUUAACAGCCCUAUACUAUCCUUUUCUCAUCAGAAACUCUAUUUUAGAGAAAAGGAGGAUACAAAGGCUGGCCAAUGCAUGGUGCGACACUGUGACCCCAUGCAUCAACCUUGUAGUUGGCACCGAAUCCCACUCUCCAAGGCAGCUUCACCUUGACACAUCCAUCUCUUUGCUUCAUCUCUCACUGCCUUUUCUUUUCCUUUUGGCUCUUAAAAGUUGCGUAUCUUUAGCUCUUUCCAAGGGAGGGGGUACUUCGAGCCCACAAUGUGCUACUACUACUCACUGGCCACUAUGCUUGCAUUUCCUAAUUGGCUUCCGCAAUGAAAUCUGAACCUGUCUGAAUGAGAUCUGGAGGCCUUUGUGUCUACUGGCUUCUGAUUCCCUCCCUGGUUUUGAACUUUCAAGUCCUGCUUACUUAAACCUACAGUGCACCUCCUUUCUGUGAUUGAUUCGUGGUACUUUAACGGUUGGAGGUGUGAAACCAAGCUACGACUAAAAUGUGCAGAUGUUGGAGGUGGAAUAAAGCGAACUCUUGUCCUGGGUGCUUUGCAGCUCGCCGGCAUAAAUCACAUUUUAGCCUAUUUUUGUAUUGCAAGCAAUUUGGAUGGCUGAGGAAUGAUUCACAAAAUACCUCGUCAGAAAUGGUACAUUUUUCAGUACAGAUACGUCUUGGGAAAGAUGCACUGUGCCUGAGACUGAAUCUUGGCCUCACUUACUUUGAAGUUUGAAACUGUGGUACCAUUUUUCUGAAUGUAUCAGCAAGACAGCAAGCUUAACAUCUCUGUAACUACUAUGCAGGUUUCUUGCCAGUUUGCUCCUGCAGGUCCAGUACUCCAGUGUGGCCACUGGCCGGCCAGUUGAUGAAAGAGGAAACAGUGGCAUAGCCGCAUAGGCAGUGCUGCAACAAGCUCGGCCGGUGAGUGAUGACAAGCACGCGGUCCCUGCUGUGUUUUGUGUGGCAGUCACAGUGCAAUCCAGAAUGGGACUGGGAGCAUGGCCGGGACAGAUGGUUUUGAUGGAUGUACACUGCCGGCCGGUCUGCAUCGCCGUCCCGUGUGUCACGGGCACUCGUACAUCGCCGGGCGUCGCCGUCGCUGGCCCACCCGUCAGUGGCACACGGUGGGGUUGCCUUUGUUACAGUGGGAGGCUGGUUGCUGGCUAUGAUGUUAACCUGACCUAUUGCUGCCAUUGCUGCUGCUUGCACACUGUGGCUCUCCAGUGAUCCCAUCUCAACAUAUAUCCGGUUUGUUUGUGCAUUCGGUGUCAUGGCCAUUCUGAAGCUGCGUCCCAGGUUAAAGUGGUGUACCCAUCCAAUGCUGCUGCUGUUCUUGAUGUGCCUGUCCUGAUACAUCACAAGUGAAGUCCAGUCCAGUUCAGUUCAGUGUCCCCCCACCUCUUCACGAGACCAGCUGCCGUGCUCGAGCAACAACCAUAGUCACAGUUGCAUUGCAGUAUGGGAAAGGACAAACGGUGUGGCUCAAAUUGGUAGCUCAUCCAAGUAAGCUCCAUCUCCGUUAACGGAUAGAAGCAGGCAAGCAUUGGCUCCUUCUACUGCAUUGUACACAGGCAUGUGACUGACUGUGUCAUGAGGGUUUUCGGUUUAGCAACUUAGCAUGAUGCUACUACAAAAGAUUUGUUCAUUGCUGCAGCAGUUGGGGAGUUUGCAAGGUGGUAACUAGGAAAGGUAAUGAUCAAGAUCAACACAGGACAAAAAACGGCGAGGCCAAGAAGCAACAUGCCAUGAGUAGAGUGAUGCAAGCCACAUGCAUUCCUGUGUAGUUGUUUGGCAACAAGUCGACACAAUGGCACGCUACACAUGGGAGUUCGGUGUGGCUGUGCCUUAGGGUUUGGGACUUUGGGGGAGAGCAUGUGUAGUAGUAGUAGCAGGAGCAUUGUGUAAUGGGAGGCUGCCUGUUGGUGGUGGCUACAAGCUAAGUUGGUAGUACAAGAUUUGUUUAUGCACAGUUCAUCAAUGGCAUGCAUCAGGCACUUCUGCCAGCCAAAGUACUAGUAUAUGUUUAGCCUUUAAACAAACAAAAUACUAUUUGUUUAGACUGGUAAUUUUUUAAUUUGGGUGUUAAAAAAACAGGGCAAAUCAAACCAGAUCUAGCCAUGGCAAACGCCAAAUUAUGGAGCACAUGCUUUAGCAAUCGAGCAUAAGCAAGCAAUGUAUACUUAAAAAGGUUUUAAG